GGGCUGCAUUCAGCAUAACCUAAGUGGUGCGCAGAUCCCAUGUAUCAGAGAGGAUGGAGGGCCUUACAGCCAAAAGCCUCUAUCAGGAAGGUUCCUCCUUACCUCAACAAAACCCUGUGUCAGAUAAAAGUGGGUGAUUCUGAGGGAUGUGCCAAUCAGAAAGUGGAUUCCCUUGAAAUAGAACCUUUCUGGAUAUUUUGCUUCCCACAACAGAAAAAAUCUCCCUGGAUUCUAGGCCCAAAGGCUGGCCACCUUGUGGGUACCAACUUGAUGCAGGCCACCAACGACCACCACCCUUCAUCCUGGGAGCCAGCAUGCCAUGGGACAGAGGACAAUGAGAAGGGCAAAAGAGGCUGACUGGCAUCCAGGGAAAACAUCCAGCUCUCCAGAAGAGGAUGAUGGCAAACAGAGCAACAGCUGGCAAGAACAGACCAAUAAAAAUGUGGUGUUGGGGGAUGAGACAGAAAAAGAUGGAUAUAACAGUCUGUGUUUUCACAAGUUUGGCAGCUGAACCACAUACUUUGGAAAAGAUAAGAAUACAUCCAGGCUUAAAAUGUCUCUCUGGGGAUCUUAUACCUGAUGGAAUGACAGCAAAAAACUCUCCAUCAUGGACUCUUCUGAGCAC
Zonotrichia leucophrys gambelii is the source of this 625-nucleotide long non-coding RNA. RefSeq lists it as uncharacterized. The record is from RefSeq and is a predicted model, not a curated record. NCBI's taxonomy places the organism in Eukaryota, Metazoa, Chordata, Aves, Passeriformes, Passerellidae. The transcript has 3 exons.